This 232-nucleotide unclassified non-coding RNA is filed under the name Hevea brasiliensis (rubber tree). The record is from RNAcentral. Lineage: Eukaryota; Viridiplantae; Streptophyta; Magnoliopsida; Malpighiales; Euphorbiaceae.
CAAAAUAACAGAAGACAUAAAUAACACAUCCAUAUCUCCCUUUCUAAUACUCUUCAUAUUCACAAAUCCAGCCGACAAAGACCUUACAAGCAGGUAUCCUUCUCGAAUAAAACCUCUCACCACCCACCCAACCACCCUCUUUUCCUUUUUCUGGUUGGAGAAAGAGAUGCCUAGACAAGUAGAUGUCACAAAAUCAUAACGACAAUAUUAACAAAAUAAUACUACAGCUGAA